GCCUAAGUAGUUUAACCUAAAACAGUGGUUUUGUAAACCACUAAUGACUUAAAAGUCCCUAGGCU
RNAcentral lists this transfer RNA (65 nucleotides) under Sida crystallina. RNAcentral describes it as "tRNA-Thr". It matches the Rfam family "tRNA". From Rfam's summary of the family: Transfer RNA (tRNA) molecules are approximately 80 nucleotides in length. Lineage: Eukaryota; Metazoa; Arthropoda; Branchiopoda; Diplostraca; Sididae. The record is from RNAcentral.